GAUGAACGCUGGCGGCGUGCCUAAUACAUGCAAGUCGAGCGAACAGACGAGGAGCUUGCUCCUCUGACGUUAGCGGCGGACGGGUGAGUAACACGUGGAUAACCUCCCUAUAAGACUGGGAUAACUUCGGGAAACCGGAGCUAAUACCGGAUAAUAUAUUGAACCGCAUGGUUCAAUAGUGAAAGACGGUUUUGCUGUCACUUAUAGAUGGAUCCGCGCCGCAUUAGCUAGUUGGUAAGGUAACGGCUUACCAAGGCUACGAUGCGUAGCCGACCUGAGAGGGUGAUCGGCCACACUGGAACUGAGACACGGUCCAGACGCCUACGGGAGGCAGCAGUAGGGAAUCUUCCGCAAUGGGCGAAAGCCUGACGGAGCAACGCCGCGUGAGUGAUGAAGGUCUUCGGAUCGUAAAACUCUGUUAUUAGGGAAGAACAAAUGUGUAAGUAACUAUGCACGUCUUGACGGUACCUAAUCAGAAAGCCACGGCUAACUACGUG
RNAcentral lists this ribosomal RNA (497 nucleotides) under uncultured bacterium. Its description in RNAcentral is "partial 16S ribosomal RNA". It matches the Rfam family "Bacterial small subunit ribosomal RNA", at positions 28 to 507 of the family's 1533-position model. The record is from RNAcentral.